CCGCGCUAUGCGGGGAGCCAGCGAUGCCCUGUAAUCCGCAAUUCGCUCAGCGGAGCAGAACGCUUAUCAGAGGCUUACCGCGUGGAAGGCCGAAUUAUAUAAGGGGCGUUGAUGUUAAGGUCUUGUGCAACGCGUUCCCGCGAACCGUGUCAGAGCAGGAAUGCAGCAGCACUAAACGGAUAAACGCGUGUGCCAUAAGGUCGCUUUAACGGAGUUACCUGUAUAAUUACCGCUUCGGCGUUGUAAGUCGAUAUAAGUGCGCG
This 263-nucleotide signal recognition particle RNA is filed under the name pig gut metagenome. RNAcentral's name for it is "Bacterial large signal recognition particle RNA". It matches the Rfam family "Bacterial large signal recognition particle RNA". From Rfam's summary of the family: The signal recognition particle (SRP) is a universally conserved ribonucleoprotein involved in the co-translational targeting of proteins to membranes. Archaeal SRP consists of a 7S RNA and homologues of the eukaryotic SRP19 and SRP54 proteins. In most bacteria, the SRP consists of a 4.5S RNA and the Ffh protein (a homologue of the eukaryotic SRP54 protein). The record is from RNAcentral.